CUCUUUCUUGCAAUGGGCUCUGUAAAGCUCACUAGCUGCUAAGUAAGGGGCAUGAGGCUAUUCCUGAAGGUGGGUGACUUUAACAUAGUUCUAUUAGGCUAAACUCUGACAUAACAAAGACCAUUAGAAUAGGCAGGGUUGAAGCAAACAGUGACACCUUUAUUUCAGUCUGGGUAUGGCUGGGUAAAGGAUGCAAAGGCUAUUGGCCCAAACAAAGGAAGAGGAUAUGCUGUACAGGGGAGUUUAGGCAGGGGAGGGGGUCCUGUCGAGGAAGAUAGAAACUUUUAGGAACAGAACAAAGUGCAAGACAACAAACAGCGUGAACCCAGCCAUGGUCAGCAAGCUUGUCAUUAGACCAUGGAGAAAUGCCCAGGACUCUUGUUAGAACACUUACAGUGGCAAAGUUCCCUUAACCCAACUUGUGUCAUAAUGAAGCUCUGAAAAUUGAAAGAAAGCAAAAAUGUCUUUAUGACUGUGGUGGAGUCCCAGCUCAGCUCGGCUGAGGGCUCUCAGCUAAAUCACAUCACUGUGGAGGACAAAGCAGAUGAGCAUGGCAGGAGUGCAUGUGGGAAGCAGGACUACAUCUCAAGUAUGGUGACAGAGAGAGCCGGAGGCAGCCAGGACAGGAGCAGGCAUUAAUAACAACUCACUCUCCUGAGGACUUAUGCCAGGGGACUGGUAUUCUCUUCCUAGUUUGUACAAUGUUGGCAUUUUUCAUCAAAGUCCUUGAAAAUAUUUGGACCUUGAAGGAGAUCUGGACCUGUCGUCUUGGCCUGUUGAUUGCUUUGAGCUGAAGGCACCUGAGACACAGCAGGCACAAGAAGGGCUUUCUGACAUUCUCUUUUCCGUCUAAAAGCAGGCCAUACAGUUUCCCCUAAGAGAAGUGCCCUGCCUGGACCAGGAAGAGAAGAACACUCAUCUUCACAAGCUAAGGAAUCAAGGCUAAAACAGACCUGCACAAACAAACUUACUAAAAUAACUCUUCUAGUCUGUGAGUUUCUUUCAACGUGGUUCUUUAUCAUGUGCCCCUAGUUCACUACCCUUAGCUGAAUGCACCUAACCUCUUCUCCUUCAGAAAUGCAUCAUUUCUUUAUUUAAAAGAUAUCUGAACAGUCUCACCUGGUUACUCCUUUGGGAGUAACAUGUCAUUGGUGAGGACUUCCCUGUACAUGGGAAAGUCUGGCAAAGC
RNAcentral lists this long non-coding RNA (1189 nucleotides) under Chinchilla lanigera (long-tailed chinchilla). RNAcentral describes it as "lncRNA (ENSCLAG00000028797.1)". Lineage: Eukaryota; Metazoa; Chordata; Mammalia; Rodentia; Chinchillidae. The record is from RNAcentral.